CAGGUACAGAGGGAUGCUACCGGGCGACCGGAUGCGGAUCUCGAAAGCCUGUCCCAGUUCGGACUGGAGUCUGCAACCCGACUCCACGAAGUUGGAUUCGCUAGUAAUCGCGCAUCAGCCAUGGCGCGGUGAAUACGUUCCCGGGUCUUGUACACACCGCCCGUCACACCAUGGGAGCCGGGAAUGCCCGAAGUCGGUGACCUAACCUUUAAGGGGGGAGCCGCCGAAGGCAGGUCUGGUAACUGGGGUGAAGUCGUAACAAGGUACC
Molecule: ribosomal RNA, 268 nt
Filed under: uncultured bacterium
Lineage: Bacteria
Description: partial 16S ribosomal RNA
Rfam family: Bacterial small subunit ribosomal RNA
Source: RNAcentral